Molecule: ribosomal RNA, 491 nt
Filed under: uncultured bacterium
Lineage: Bacteria
Description: partial 16S ribosomal RNA
Rfam family: Bacterial small subunit ribosomal RNA
Source: RNAcentral
AGUGAACGCUGGCGGUAGGCCUAACACAUGCAAGUCGAACGGCAGCACAGUAGAGUCUGUCUCUUCCGGUUGGCGGGGGCCGGACGGGGAGGAAAUAAAUCGAAUUCUACUUUUUCUUGGGGGAAAACGUGGGAAACCUUACGCAAAUACGGAAUCGACCCACCGGGGGAAGUCAGGGAUUCUUCGACCUUUUGCCGUUUAAUUAGCCGAUGUCGGAUUAGCUAGUUGGCGGGGUAAAGGCCCACCAAGGCGACGAUCCGUAGCUGGUCUGAGAGGAUGAUCAGCCACACUGGAACUGAGACACGGUCCAGACUCCUACGGGAGGCAGCAGUGGGGAAUAUUGGACAAUGGGCGCAAGCCUGAUCCAGCCAUACCGCGUGGGUGAAGAAGGCCUUCGGGUUGUAAAGCCCUUUUGUUGGGAAAGAAAAGCAGCAGGUUAAUACCCCGCUGUUCUGACGGUACCCAAAGAAUAAGCACCGGCUAACUUCGUG